GAGUUUGAUCCUGGCUCAGAACGAACGCUGGCGGCGUGCUUAACACAUGCAAGUCGAACGUGAUCCGGAGCUUGCUCCGGUGAAAGUGGCGCACGGGUGAGUAACGCGUGGAUAAUCUGCCCUGGUAUCUGGGAUAACAUCUCGAAAGGGGUGCUAAUACCGGAUAAGCCCACGGGAUCCUCGGAUUCUGCGGGAAAAGGUGGCCUCUAUUUAUAAGCUACCGUAUCAGGAUGAGUCCGCGUACCAUUAGCUAGUUGGUGGGGUAAUGGCCCACCAAGGCUACGAUGGUUAGCUGGUCUAARAGGACGAUCAGCAACAUUGGGACUGAGACACUGCCCAGACUCCUACGGGAGGCUGCAGUCGAGGAUYUUUAGCAAUGCCCGAAAGGGUGACUAUGCGACGCCGCGUGCAGGAUGAAGGCCUUCGGGUUGUAAACUGCUGUCAGGGGGGAAGAAACCUUACGUGUAAAUAGCGCGUAAGCUGACAUCACCCCCAAAGGAAGCCACGGCUAACUCUGUGCCAGCAGCCGCGGUAAUAC
RNAcentral lists this ribosomal RNA (538 nucleotides) under uncultured Geobacteraceae bacterium. RNAcentral describes it as "bacterial SSU rRNA". It matches the Rfam family "Bacterial small subunit ribosomal RNA", at positions 9 to 526 of the family's 1533-position model. The record is from RNAcentral. Lineage: Bacteria; Pseudomonadati; Thermodesulfobacteriota; Desulfuromonadia; Geobacterales; Geobacteraceae.